This 1000-nucleotide ribosomal RNA is filed under the name Cytobacillus firmus. Its description in RNAcentral is "bacterial SSU rRNA". It matches the Rfam family "Bacterial small subunit ribosomal RNA", at positions 475 to 1474 of the family's 1533-position model. The record is from RNAcentral. Lineage: Bacteria; Bacillati; Bacillota; Bacilli; Caryophanales; Bacillaceae.
GUACCUGACCAGAAAGCAUCGGCUAACUACGUGUCAGCAGCCGCGGUAUACGUAGGUGGUCAGUGUCGUCAGGUAAUAGUAGGUCAGUAAAGCGCGCGCGGGCUGCUUCCUUAAGUUGAUGUGAAAGCCCCCGGCUCAACCGGGGAGGGUCAUUGGAAACUGGGGAACUGAGUGCAGAAGAGAAGAGUGGAAUUCCACGUGCAGCGGUGAACUGCGUAGAGAUGUGGAGGAACACCAGUGGCGACGGCGACUCUUUGGUCUGUAACUGACGAUGAGGCGCGACAGCGUGGGGAGCAAACAGGAUUAGAUACCCUGGUACUUCACGCCGUAAACGAUGAGUGAUAAGUGUUAGAGGGUUUCCGCCUUUUAGUGCUGCAGCAAACGCAUUAAGCACUCCGCCUGGGGAGUACGGCCGCAAGGCUGAAACUCAAAGGAAUUGACGGGGGCCCGCACAAGCGGUGGAGCAUGUGGUUUAAUUUGAAGCAACGCGAAGAACCUUACCAGGUCUUGACAUCUCCUGACAACCCUAGAGAUAGGGCGUUCCCCUUCGGGGGACAGGAUGACAGGUGGUGCAUGGUAGUCGUCAGCUCGUGUCGUGAGAUGUUGGGUUAAGUCCCGCAACGAGCGCAACCCUUCAUUUUAGUUGCCAGCAUUCAGUUGGGCACUCUAAGGUGACUGCCGGUGACAAACCGGAGGAAGGUGGGGAUGACGUCAAAUCAUCAUGCCCCUUAUGACCUGGGCUACACACGUGCUACAAUGGAUGGUACAAAGGGCUGCAAGACCGCGAGGUUAAGCGAAUCCCAUAAAACCAUUCUCAGUUCGGAUUGCAGGCUGCAACUCGCCUGCAUGAAGCGGGAAUCGCUGUAAUCGCGGAUCAGCAUGUCGCGGUGAAUACGUUCCCGGGCCUUGUACACACCGCCCGUCACACCACGAGAGUUUGUAACACCCGAAGUCGGUGGGGUAACCUUUUGGAGCCAGCCGCCUAUGUGAUCACAGGGGG